Bombus pascuorum is the source of this 433-nucleotide long non-coding RNA. RefSeq lists it as uncharacterized. NCBI's taxonomy places the organism in Eukaryota, Metazoa, Arthropoda, Insecta, Hymenoptera, Apidae. The transcript has 2 exons. The record is from RefSeq and is a predicted model, not a curated record.
UUUCAAAUUAUAGUGUAUUUAAGAUCAUCAAGUAUGUAUUACCGUAUAUCUAAGACAAGUGAGUAUUUACAAAUUAAUAAACAUGAUUCUCUAUUUUUCUCUCUAAAAUAAACAUUUAUCGUAAUUUUUGAUAGAAUAGAAUGUUUAAUAUUUGAAAAUAUAUUUUACGCGCGUUUAUCUGCAUAUGCUUUUCUCAUGUCUAAAUAUCCCGCUAGAUGACGUUCGCAUACCUUUAACGACAUACUUGUUUAACGACGAGAGGUAAUGUUAAAAAUUUGUUAACAAAUUUCAAAAUACUACUCUAAGAUUUGGACGGAUGUUUCCUUAGACCAUUAUCAGUCUUUUUGUUAAAAUGUAAGAAGUUCCAAGCUUCAAACUAAUCGUACAUUACUGACACGUGAGUAUGUUACUUAUGUGUUUAUAAUAUUUAAUA